This is a long non-coding RNA of Perognathus longimembris pacificus (Pacific pocket mouse), 2689 nucleotides long. RefSeq lists it as uncharacterized. Lineage: Eukaryota; Metazoa; Chordata; Mammalia; Rodentia; Heteromyidae. The record is from RefSeq and is a predicted model, not a curated record. The transcript is spliced from 3 exons.
GUCACUGCAUCAGCUCCACAGCCAUAAGAACUUUUCCAAGUGACACAAGAGUUUGGUCAUUCUGAAUUCUGAAGUUGGAUGACUGUGGGGAGGGAGCAAAUGGUAGCCAAUAUCAGAUCAGAGCUGGCUGCAGCAGAUUCCAGAGAUGCCUGGGAAGAAUCCAAUGGACAUCUGAAGAGCUUUGAAUGAGGGCAAGGAUGAAAGAUCCCCCCUGGCCUUUGGCCACACACCCUGUUUACUUUCCAAAGACAAUGGGGGACUUGAAGUGUGCUACAAUAACACCUGAAUGGGAUUAGUCAGCAUCCAAAGAAGUCAACUGGAUUAAGCCAUCUUUAAGACUCUGGGAGAGGAAGGGGUUUGGGGGUGGGUAUUUGUCUUGCCCUCUGAUCUUAUAUGUUCAUGAGUCUUACAGAUUCCUCAGGAACAGGAAGAGUUGGUAAAUGAGAGAAUUCUCCAUGAUGUGUAUGGAACAUACAGAACUGUGGGUUUGUUGUUGGUUAUUUGCUUAUUUUUUUUUUUAGCCAGCAUGUGGUCUCUAGAGAUAACGGACAGAAUUAAAUUAUGUAUGAACCCACAAGUUUAGCAUUCCAGGCCUUUUUCUAAAAAAGAGACCAUCCAGCCGGCCUACUGCAGGGAAUGCACUAGGUGAUUCAGCCCGCAGCAUCUGAUUGGCUGGCUUCUCCCCUGCUUCAAAGGUCUGUCUUACUCUCCCCUUAGCUCUGGGUCCAGGGUUUGCAACUCCUCUAUUUUUGUGCUGCCAAUAGGGUACUCAGUGCUCUGAGCUCUUUUCUCCUUUUCUGCUCUAGGCUGGAGCUCUCUACCAAUUGAGCCACACCUCCAGUUCCAACCUUUUGUUGGUUAAUCAGAAAUGAAUCAGGCUUUUGUCCCUAGACUAGCUUUGAACCACAAUCCUUAGAAAUCUGCCUCUUGGUUAGCUAGAAUUAGAAUCACCACACCCAGGCUGCACCCCUCUUUCUGGAAAUCCUGGCUGGAGGGAAAGGAAUAUUGUAAACAUUCCCAUGUUGUAGAAAUGGAAACAUCUCAAUCCUUUGCCAGUGACUGGUGGCAGUAAAUGAUCCAAGCCAUCCCUUGACUGAAAUGAACCUGUGUGUACAUACGUGUGCAUGUGUUACAUACGUGAAAAGUCACACACACACACACACACAUACACAUACAUACUGAAUCUCUGGGACAGAUUACCCAUUUCUUAAGCUACAAAGUGCCACACAGUUGGGCAUCUAGUUGGAAGAAUUACUUCUAGUCUGAUGUCUUGAUAUAGGGCAAGCAGCCAAAUACCUUCUCAGUUAAUCUCCUUUAAGCCAGCUGUGCACUGGUCCCUUGCCCAAUUCUUCUGUUCCCCCCUUCCCCCCACCCCACCCUGGCCCCCAAUUUUCAUGCUGACUUGAAACUCUUCAGUAGUUUCUCCUCCUCUAAACUGAGUGGCAAAAAGGUCCUUUAACGAUUGAUCCACACCAGUGUCUUUGAAAAACUCUUUUUUUUUUUAGGUCCAAGACUGGAACUCAACCUCUACCUGACACUUUCACUCAUUGGCUAGUGCUCUACCACCUAAGCCAUACCUCCAACUUCUAUACCCACUGUUCUAACAGUAGGAUAGACAAAAAUCCUAAGAUCAAGUGGAGUGUGAUAAUGGAUAGAAGCUUGGGCCCUGUGGGACUGAGCAAAGGUAAGAGGACAGGAACAGGAAGGAGAGGAAGUUCCUGGGGGGUGGGGGUGAGAACCAAGCAAAUUUGUGUUUGAAGCACUGGGAUUGUACUGACUGUCUAGGCAAGGAUAAAACGGCUGAAUGAGAGCAGCCAAGGCCAAACACAAUGUUUGUGUAAAAGAAGGUGUGACCAGUGCCUAGGGGAGGGACCUGCCCAGAUGACCCUUCAUCAUCUUCACGAGGCAGGAGAAAGUGGGGAGCCUGGGACCUCAGGCAAUGGGAAAACCCUCUCUCUCCCUCUCCCCCUUCUCUCCUCUCUCCUCUUCCUCUUCUUUCUUCUCUCUUUCCUUUUGGUGGCACUAGGGUUUGAACUCAGGGCUUUGCACUUGCUAGGCAGGUGCUAUACCACUUGAGCCAAGCCCCUAGCUGAAGAAAGUCCUCUUUUGCCUGCUUGUAUUUUCCCAGGGAAGACAGAAGAGAAGGUACAAAACCAGCCCAUCUUUAAAAGGGGGGUACCUUUGAGGAGGGGAAGGCAGUGAGGUUCCCAAGGAGCCACAGAUCAUUUUAAUUUGUGUGCGAGGAUUCCUUCAGACAGAAGUCUGGUGAAUUUUACUCUGAUAAAAUCAAGUGGGAAUUGCUAGUUCAGGGAUUUGAAUUCAGGGCCUCACACUUGCUCAGAUGGGUGUCUGUCACUGGAGCAAUGACUCCAGUGUCUGAUCAUUCUGAAGAUAUAGUCCAGAUGACUUUCCUGCCAGGCUGGCUUUGAACUGUGAUCCUCCUGGUCUCAGUCUUGAGUAGCAAGUGUGAGACCCCUGUACCUGGCCAAGGUGAAGCCUUGAAUGCUGAAUUCUCUGGCGGGGCCAAUCUUUUCUUCAUGUGAAUACACAUCUGAAAGAAAAUAUAGCAAAUACAGCAGUGGCUAUGUCUUUUCCUUUCCUUUAAUCUUUAUUCUUAUUUUUAGUGGUGGUGAUGGUAUGGGCUUUGAGCUGAGGGUCUGGUAGCUUGUUUGCUUAGCACCAGGCCCAU